AACGCACCUUGCGCCUCUUGGUAUUCCGAGGGGCAUGCCUGUUUGAGUGUCAUUGAAACAUCAAAAGAAAAUUUGUUUUCUUUUGGAACUGGAGUGUGCUGGUCUCUUUUUGGGAAACCAGCUCCUCUAAAAUGCAUUUAGCAGAGUGUCACCCCAACGCUUGCACGGCGCUCUUCUUGGCCAUUGAUAGCUUGUCUAUGUCCAAGUUGCUGAGCAGGUGAAGGAAAGGUCUCUAGGCUUAUAAUGGUCCACCACGGACAAAACAUCCUUUGCUUGACAAUUAACCCUCAAAUCAGGUAGGACUACCCGCUGAACUUAA
RNAcentral lists this unclassified non-coding RNA (319 nucleotides) under uncultured fungus. RNAcentral describes it as "partial contains 5.8S ribosomal RNA, internal transcribed spacer 2, and large subunit ribosomal RNA". The stretch from base 1 to 52 matches the Rfam family "5.8S ribosomal RNA", at positions 103 to 154 of the family's 154-position model. Lineage: Eukaryota; Fungi. The record is from RNAcentral.